GGUUAAGCGACUAAGCGUACACGGUGGAUGCCCUGGCAGUCAGAGGCGAUGAAGGACGUGCUAAUCUGCGAUAAGCGUCGGUAAGGUGAUAUGAACCGUUAUAACCGGCGAUUUCCGAAUGGGGAAACCCAGUGUGAUUCGUCACACUAUCAUUAACUGAAUCCAUAGGUUAAUGAGGCGAACCGGGGGAACUGAAACAUCUAAGUACCCCGAGGAAAAGAAAUCAACCGAGAUUCCCCCAGUAGCGGCGAGCGAACGGGGAGCAGCCCAGAGCCUGAAUCAGUGUGUGUGUUAGUGGAAGCGUCUGGAAAGGCGCGCGAUACAGGGUGACAGCCCCGUACACAAAAAUGCACAUGCUGUGAGCUCGAUGAGUAGGGCGGGACACGUGGUAUCCUGUCUGAAUAUGGGGGGACCAUCCUCCAAGGCUAAAUACUCCUGACUGACCGAUAGUGAACCAGUACCGUGAGGGAAAGGCGAAAAGAACCCCGGCGAGGGGAGUGAAAAAGAACCUGAAACCGUGUACGUACAAGCAGUGGGAGCACGCUUAGGCGUGUGACUGCGUACCUUUUGUAUAAUGGGUCAGCGACUUAUAUUCUGUAGCAAGGUUAACCGAAUAGGGGAGCCGAAGGGAAACCGAGUCUUAACUGGGCGUUAAGUUGCAGGGUAUAGACCCGAAACCCGGUGAUCUAGCCAUGGGCAGGUUGAAGGUUGGGUAACACUAACUGGAGGACCGAACCGACUAAUGUUGAAAAAUUAGCGGAUGACUUGUGGCUGGGGGUGAAAGGCCAAUCAAACCGGGAGAUAGCUGGUUCUCCCCGAAAGCUAUUUAGGUAGCGCCUCGUGAAUUCAUCUCCGGGGGUAGAGCACUGUUUCGGCAAGGGGGUCAUCCCGACUUACCAACCCGAUGCAAACUGCGAAUACCGGAGAAUGUUAUCACGGGAGACACACGGCGGGUGCUAACGUCCGUCGUGAAGAGGGAAACAACCCAGACCGCCAGCUAAGGUCCCAAAGUCAUGGUUAAGUGGGAAACGAUGUGGGAAGGCCCAGACAGCCAGGAUGUUGGCUUAGAAGCAGCCAUCAUUUAAAGAAAGCGUAAUAGCUCACUGGUCGAGUCGGCCUGCGCGGAAGAUGUAACGGGGCUAAACCAUGCACCGAAGCUGCGGCAGCGACGCUGAUGCGUUGUUGGGUAGGGGAGCGUUCUGUAAGCCUGCGAAGGUGUGCUGUGAGGCAUGCUGGAGGUAUCAGAAGUGCGAAUGCUGACAUAAGUAACGAUAAAGCGGGUGAAAAGCCCGCUCGCCGGAAGACCAAGGGUUCCUGUCCAACGUUAAUCGGGGCAGGGUGAGUCGACCCCUAAGGCGAGGCCGAAAGGCGUAGUCGAUGGGAAACAGGUUAAUAUUCCUGUACUUGGUGUUACUGCGAAGGGGGGACGGAGAAGGCUAUGUUGGCCGGGCGACGGUUGUCCCGGUUUAAGCGUGUAGGCUGGUUUUCCAGGCAAAUCCGGAAAAUCAAGGCUGAGGCGUGAUGACGAGGCACUACGGUGCUGAAGCAACAAAUGCCCUGCUUCCAGGAAAAGCCUCUAAGCAUCAGGUAACAUCAAAUCGUACCCCAAACCGACACAGGUGGUCAGGUAGAGAAUACCAAGGCGCUUGAGAGAACUCGGGUGAAGGAACUAGGCAAAAUGGUGCCGUAACUUCGGGAGAAGGCACGCUGAUAUGUAGGUGAAGCGACUUGCUCGUGGAGCUGAAAUCAGUCGAAGAUACCAGCUGGCUGCAACUGUUUAUUAAAAACACAGCACUGUGCAAACACGAAAGUGGACGUAUACGGUGUGACGCCUGCCCGGUGCCGGAAGGUUAAUUGAUGGGGUUAGCGCAAGCGAAGCUCUUGAUCGAAGCCCCGGUAAACGGCGGCCGUAACUAUAACGGUCCUAAGGUAGCGAAAUUCCUUGUCGGGUAAGUUCCGACCUGCACGAAUGGCGUAAUGAUGGCCAGGCUGUCUCCACCCGAGACUCAGUGAAAUUGAACUCGCUGUGAAGAUGCAGUGUACCCGCGGCAAGACGGAAAGACCCCGUGAACCUUUACUAUAGCUUGACACUGAACAUUGAGCCUUGAUGUGUAGGAUAGGUGGGAGGCUUUGAAGUGUGGACGCCAGUCUGCAUGGAGCCGACCUUGAAAUACCACCCUUUAAUGUUUGAUGUUCUAACGUUGACCCGUAAUCCGGGUUGCGGACAGUGUCUGGUGGGUAGUUUGACUGGGGCGGUCUCCUCCUAAAGAGUAACGGAGGAGCACGAAGGUUGGCUAAUCCUGGUCGGACAUCAGGAGGUUAGUGCAAUGGCAUAAGCCAGCUUGACUGCGAGCGUGACGGCGCGAGCAGGUGCGAAAGCAGGUCAUAGUGAUCCGGUGGUUCUGAAUGGAAGGGCCAUCGCUCAACGGAUAAAAGGUACUCCGGGGAUAACAGGCUGAUACCGCCCAAGAGUUCAUAUCGACGGCGGUGUUUGGCACCUCGAUGUCGGCUCAUCACAUCCUGGGGCUGAAGUAGGUCCCAAGGGUAUGGCUGUUCGCCAUUUAAAGUGGUACGCGAGCUGGGUUUAGAACGUCGUGAGACAGUUCGGUCCCUAUCUGCCGUGGGCGCUGGAGAACUGAGGGGGGCUGCUCCUAGUACGAGAGGACCGGAGUGGACGCAUCACUGGUGUUCGGGUUGUCAUGCCAAUGGCACUGCCCGGUAGCUAAAUGCGGAAGAGAUAAGUGCUGAAAGCAUCUAAGCACGAAACUUGCCCCGAGAUGAGUUCUCCCUGACUCCUUGAGAGUCCUGAAGGAACGUUGAAGACGACGACGUUGAUAGGCCGGGUGUGUAAGCGCAGCGAUGCGUUGAGCUAACCGGUACUAAUGAACCGUGAGGCUUAACCUUAC
RNAcentral lists this ribosomal RNA (2906 nucleotides) under Escherichia coli W. RNAcentral's name for it is "bacterial LSU rRNA". It matches the Rfam family "Bacterial large subunit ribosomal RNA". Lineage: Bacteria; Pseudomonadati; Pseudomonadota; Gammaproteobacteria; Enterobacterales; Enterobacteriaceae. The record is from RNAcentral.